This 146-nucleotide small nuclear RNA is filed under the name Carlito syrichta (Philippine tarsier). RNAcentral describes it as "U4 spliceosomal RNA (ENSTSYG00000019923.2)". It matches the Rfam family "U4 spliceosomal RNA". Rfam says of the family: U4 small nuclear RNA (U4 snRNA) is a component of the major U2-dependent spliceosome. Lineage: Eukaryota; Metazoa; Chordata; Mammalia; Primates; Tarsiidae. The record is from RNAcentral.
AGCUUUACGCAGUGGCACUAUCGUAGCCAAUGAGGUUUAACCGAAGCACGAUUAUUGCUCAUUGAAAACUUUUCCCAAUACCCUGCCAUGACGUCUUGAAAUAUAGAUGAGGAAACAGAGACGCAUUAGUAGAAAGCCUAGAUAGC